CAUGGUUUUGGGUAAACCAGCUCCAUUAGUCAGCACGUUUAGGUUGAGUUACUAUACAAUUCUGAAUUUAUUGAGUCAUGCUCAAGGCCAAUUUACUGCCGAGCAUGUUAUCAAACACUCAUUCCACCAGUUUCAGCAUGAGAAGGCGUUACCUGACAUUGGAAAGAGGGUCUCUAAGCUGGAAAAAGAAGCUGCAAAGCUUGAUGCAUCAGGGGAGGGUGAGGUUGCAGAAUAUCAUAAACUAAAGCUUGAGAUAGCACAACGCGAAAAAAAACUGAUGGCUGAAAUAACACGGCCUGAAAGGGUUCUCCAUUUUCUUCUUCCCGGUAGGCUGGUCAAGGUAUGGGAAGGUGGAAAAGAUUGGGGUUGGGGUGUUGUAGUCAAUGUGGUAAAAAAACCUCCAGCUGCGUCGGGUUCUAUGCCUGCUGCACUCUCUGCUUCACGUAGCACGGGCUAUAUUGUGGAUACCCUACUUCAUUGCUCUCUUGGUUCUGGUGAAAAUGGUUCUCAACCCAAACCAUGUCCACCUCGUCCAGGGGAGAAGGGAGAAAUGCAUGUAGUUCCUGUUCAAUUGCCCCUGAUUUCUUCCCUCAGUAAGCUUCGAAUAUCUGUUCCUGCGGAUCUUCGGCCAUUGGAGGCAAGGCAAAGCAUCCUUCUUGCUGUUCAGGAGCUUCAGAAACGUUUUCCUCAAGGCCUCCCGAAGCUUAACCCUGUAAAGGACAUGGGAUUUGAAGAUCCUGAAUUUGUUGAUAUAGUGAACCAGAUUGAAGAACUGGAGAAAAAAUUGUUCGCUCAUCCACUACACAAGUCACAAGAUGAACAUCAACUUAAGAGUUUCCAAAAGAAGGCGGAAGUGAACCAUGAAAUUCAACAGCUCAAGUCGAAA
This 886-nucleotide unclassified non-coding RNA is filed under the name Hevea brasiliensis (rubber tree). Lineage: Eukaryota; Viridiplantae; Streptophyta; Magnoliopsida; Malpighiales; Euphorbiaceae. The record is from RNAcentral.